This 78-nucleotide non-coding RNA is filed under the name Streptomyces sp. The record is from RNAcentral. Lineage: Bacteria; Bacillati; Actinomycetota; Actinomycetes; Kitasatosporales; Streptomycetaceae.
GAGGAAGCCCGGUGCGAAUCCGGCGCGGUCCCGCCACUGUGAACCCCGCCCCGCAAGGGGCGGGCGAGCCAGGAACUC